AUACGUAGGUGGCAAGCGUUGUCCGGAUUUACUGGGUGUAAAGGGCGUGUAGGCGGAGAUGCAAGUCAGGAGUGAAAUCUAGGGGCUCAACCCCUAAACUGCUUUUGAAACUGUAUCCCUUGAGUAUCGGAGAGGCAGGCGGAAUUCCUUGUGUAGAGGUGAAAAGCGUAGAUAUUAGGAGGAACACCAGUGGCGAAGGUGGCUUUCUGGCCUGUAACUGACGCUGAGGCGCGAAAGCGUGGGGAGCGAACGGGAUUAGAUACCCCGGUAGUCCACGCUGUAAACGAUGGGUACUAGGUGUAGGAGGUAUCGACCCCUUCUGUGCCGGAGUUAACGCAAUAAGUACCCCGCCUGGGGAGUACGGCCGCAAGGUUGAAACUCAAAUGAAUUGGCGGGG
This 397-nucleotide ribosomal RNA is filed under the name uncultured bacterium. RNAcentral's name for it is "partial 16S ribosomal RNA". It matches the Rfam family "Bacterial small subunit ribosomal RNA", at positions 523 to 918 of the family's 1533-position model. The record is from RNAcentral.